GGGGAUGGGGCUCAGUGGUAAAGCUCUUGCCUGACAUGCAUGAGGACCUGGGUUUGAUCCCCAGCACCACAA
This 72-nucleotide transfer RNA is filed under the name Ictidomys tridecemlineatus (thirteen-lined ground squirrel). Its description in RNAcentral is "Spermophilus tridecemlineatus (thirteen-lined ground squirrel) tRNA". It matches the Rfam family "tRNA". Rfam says of the family: Transfer RNA (tRNA) molecules are approximately 80 nucleotides in length. Their secondary structure includes four short double-helical elements and three loops (D, anti-codon, and T loops). The record is from Rfam by way of RNAcentral. Lineage: Eukaryota; Metazoa; Chordata; Mammalia; Rodentia; Sciuridae. RNAcentral also lists the same sequence under 1 other name.